UACGUAGGGGGCAAGCGUUGUCCGGAAUCAUUGGGCGUAAAGCGCACGUAGGCGGAUUGUUAAGUCAGGGGUGAAAUCCUGGAGCUCAACUCCAGAACUGCCUUUGAUACUGGCGAUCUCGAGUCCGGGAGAGGUGAGUGGAACUGCGAGUGUAGAGGUGAAAUUCGUAGAUAUUCGCAAGAACACCAGUGGCGAAGGCGGCUCACUGGCCCGGUACUGACGCUGAGGCGCGAAAGCCAGGGGAGCAAACGGG
RNAcentral lists this ribosomal RNA (253 nucleotides) under uncultured bacterium. RNAcentral's name for it is "partial 16S ribosomal RNA". It matches the Rfam family "Bacterial small subunit ribosomal RNA", at positions 524 to 776 of the family's 1533-position model. The record is from RNAcentral.